GACGAACGCUGGCGGCGUGCUUAACACAUGCAAGUCGAACGGUAAGGCCCUUCGGGGUACACGAGAGGCGAACGGGUGAGUAACACGUGGGUGAUCUGCCCUGCACUUCGGGAUAAGCCUGGGAAACUGGGUCUAAUACCGGAUAGGACCACUGCCUGCAUGGGUGGUGGUGGAAAGCUUUUGCGGUGUGGGAUGGGCCCGCGGCCUAUCAGCUUGUUGGUGGGGUGACAGCCUACCAAGGCGACGACGGGUAGCCGGCCUGAGAGGGGGACCGGCCCGACUGGGACUGAGAUACGGCCCGGACCCCUACGGGAGGCAGCAGUGGGGAAUAUUGCACAAUGGCGCAAGCCGGAUGCAGCGGCGCCGCGUGAGGGAUGACGGCCUUCGGGUUGUAAACAUCUUUCAGCACCGACGAAGCGCAAGUGACGGUAGGUGCAGAAGAAGGACCGGCCAACUACGUGCCAGCCGCCGCCGUAA
RNAcentral lists this ribosomal RNA (477 nucleotides) under uncultured bacterium. Its description in RNAcentral is "partial 16S ribosomal RNA". It matches the Rfam family "Bacterial small subunit ribosomal RNA", at positions 28 to 523 of the family's 1533-position model. The record is from RNAcentral.